This is a long non-coding RNA of Raphanus sativus (radish), 816 nucleotides long. RefSeq lists it as uncharacterized. NCBI's taxonomy places the organism in Eukaryota, Viridiplantae, Streptophyta, Magnoliopsida, Brassicales, Brassicaceae. The record is from RefSeq and is a predicted model, not a curated record. The transcript has 3 exons.
UUUAUUUUAUUUCAGGGAACUGGUGGUCAACAUAUGGAUGUGGUACACCAACUCUUCAAAAAAUGGCUACAAGGAUCCUUGCUUUGACGUCAAGCUCUUCAGGAUGUGAAAGAAAUUGGAGUUGCUUUGAAGGGAUUCACACAAAAAAGAGAAACAGGCUAGAUGUCAAUCGCUUAAAUAGCUUAGUCUAUGUGCAAUUCAAUGCUAAGCUGUUUAAGAAGCAGAAAAAAAUCAGAGAGCAAAAUGCCGAUGUGAUAUUUGACGAUGGUAAUGAAGAUACAGUGGAAGAAUGGCUUGUGGGCCAUGUACCAGACAUAGACCAUGAUCUUAAUUUGAUACUUGUAACCCAAGCUCCAAGGGUAAGAGAUUUAUAUGAUGAUGACUUUGAGUCUGAUGAAGAUGAGGAAUAUGUUGUGGAUAUGGAGUUUGAACCAGAUGGAUCACAAAAUAUUCCUCUCUCUCGUGAUUCACAUUCUACUUAGUAAGGUGUAUGUCUUUUGUUGCAGGUGUAUGUUAUAAGGUCUAACUCCUAACACAUCUACCCAAUUCAUGGUGAUUACUUGAUCUGAAGACAAAAGGACGAAGACUUCAAUCCUUUUUUGUAUUUUGUAUGUUCUCAAGAUCAAGACAAUCUAUUUUGUGUAUCUCAUGAAUUGGAAGUUUUUGUGCUUUUUAAAUUUGAUGUGUAAAGGAGAAAACUAUAUUUAUCUAUAACAAGUUAUAUAAUUGUGUCUAAAAACUGUAUCAUUAUAUUUAAAUUAUUUAAAAUAGCUAAAUAUAUUAUAAAUAUAUUAAAUUAUAUUUAAAACUAGGCCC